CACCAGGGUUCGGAGAGAGCGCGGGUGAGCAGCAGCCCCAGGGUCUGAAAAGAAGGGCAGCCCCUGUGGAAGGUUCUAGAAGUGGUGAUGGAUGAUUCCCGCGGGAAUGUUCGAGAACUGGUGUCUGCUCCUGUAGGAAUGAUGCUCCCCGUUACUCCUUAUCACAGGGCUCCAGUUGGUGGAAACCAAUGUCACCAAUGCUUCUUCUGCCUUCAUUUCCAUAAGCUACUCAUUUACAAGAACUGUACUUCUAACUUCACAUUCGUGCUUGAAUCUGAACAGCCUUUGGAAAGUGCAAGACUUGAACUACCCUUGAAGUCUACAGGUUUCUAUUUCACUCAUUGCUAUAAUUGCGAGUAUUGCAAUGACGGAGGACUUGACGAUGUAGAAAUAGACUUGAGACAUCCUGUAAUUGAAGAGAAGCUACAAGAUGGGACUGUAUGUUUUAUGGUGCCAGAGCUUUGCCUCUGUAAUAGCCAGCAAUACACUGCAUGAGAACCACUUUUUGUGGGAGUCUGUUGGUCUUCCCCUUUUCCUCAGUUCAGUUUUGUUUCCUCUUGUCCCCUUGAGACAUCACUGAG
This is a long non-coding RNA of Heterocephalus glaber (naked mole-rat), 581 nucleotides long. Lineage: Eukaryota; Metazoa; Chordata; Mammalia; Rodentia; Bathyergidae. The record is from Ensembl.